RNAcentral lists this ribosomal RNA (498 nucleotides) under uncultured Enterobacter sp. RNAcentral describes it as "bacterial SSU rRNA". It matches the Rfam family "Bacterial small subunit ribosomal RNA", at positions 951 to 1449 of the family's 1533-position model. The record is from RNAcentral. Lineage: Bacteria; Pseudomonadati; Pseudomonadota; Gammaproteobacteria; Enterobacterales; Enterobacteriaceae.
UCGAUGCAACGCGAAGAACCUUACCUACUCUUGACAUCCAGAGAACUUAGCAGAGAUGCUUUGGUGCCUUCGGGAACUCUGAGACAGGUGCUGCAUGGCUGUCGUCAGCUCGUGUUGUGAAAUGUUGGGUUAAGUCCCGCAACGAGCGCAACCCUUAUCCUUUGUUGCCAGCGGUUAGGCCGGGAACUCAAAGGAGACUGCCAGUGAUAAACUGGAGGAAGGUGGGGAUGACGUCAAGUCAUCAUGGCCCUUACGAGUAGGGCUACACACGUGCUACAAUGGCGCAUACAAAGAGAAGCGACCUCGCGAGAGCAAGCGGACCUCAUAAAGUGCGUCGUAGUCCGGAUUGGAGUCUGCAACUCGACUCCAUGAAGUCGGAAUCGCUAGUAAUCGUGGAUCAGAAUGCCACGGUGAAUACGUUCCCGGGCCUUGUACACACCGCCCGUCACACCAUGGGAGUGGGUUGCAAAAGAAGUAGGUAGCUUAACCUUCGGGAGG